CAGGCAAUGUAGACUGUUGGAUGUUUGGGGUAAGUGAGAUGAAAUAGCAGUACAGGUUGUUUCCCGAGGCUGUGCUAAUGGUCCGUUACCAAUGAAGUGUUUGAGAAGGAUAAGUUCUUGUUCGAUUUUGAGACUGUCUUGAUUUCAACAUAGAAACAAAUGCGGUUCUUGCCUGUGUUAGAAGAGCACAGAAUUGCAGAAGAUGGUCCCCCUGUAACCCGUAGUAAUUGGAGCCCACAGCAGUAUUUCCAGCAGUACAUUGACAAUGAACUAAUUCAGGACCUGUCCUUCAUCAACCAACGUAUGGUACAGGAUUCAGGCUUAAGCACAACACCAGAAGAAAUCAAGACCUUUUUAGGAAUCUCGAAAAUAUGGUCUCAGGAGGAUAUAGGUGGUGCAUUGUGGGAUUGUUGACGGUGAUGUACGCUGUCUGCUGUUACCUAACUGCCAACAUUUUUCGAAUUUACUCUUGUUGAGAUAAAUGAAGUUUAAAUAAUGCUGAUUUAAUAACCAUGUAUUCUUAUGUUUUUGUUUUAUUAAAUUGUAUGCUGCAGCCAGGUUAGGGAAAUAUGAAUACACAGAUUGAAUACAAUAACCAUAAAAAGUUUAGAACUCCAUACAUUACACUCAGACUUUACACCUGGCUGAGAUAGAGAGACAGGAUUAAAACCCCACAAUUAACAUACAAAUGAAACUGCCUCCUAUACAGCACAAAGAGACCUUCUGUCUCCAGCCCCCUGAUGUUCUAGUCUAGGUUAGGACAAUAAAAUGUAAAUUACUGUAACCUGGUUAAGAUUUCACACCUGUAUGCAAAUAACCUGUUGAUCUAUGACUGAGAGUAAGAGCAUGCUCUUCUUCAUGGUACAGCGAAAACAAAGAGAUUCGUCCAACAUGUCACCAUGCCAACAAAGAACCAAUAAGGAAGGGUUUUACUCACGAGAGUGAAAAGUAACCGCCCCUGUGGCGGGAGUAUUAAAAACAAUGUUCGAUCUUGAUUCGGGGCGAAUAUUUUGUGGAAGCUCGAGGGUUGAGCAAAAUAUUUGACCGCUGC
Long non-coding RNA from Esox lucius (northern pike), 1051 nucleotides. The record is from Ensembl. Lineage: Eukaryota; Metazoa; Chordata; Actinopteri; Esociformes; Esocidae.